AUGGCCUGGCCUCUCGUCUGUCUCUCACUGCUCUCCUUCUGCUCAGGCUCCCUCUCCCAGGCUGUGGUGACUCAGCCUCCCUCUGUGUCUGCAGCCCUGGGGAGCUCGGCCAGACUCUCCUGCACCCUGAGCAGUGCGUCCAGUGGUAAUACUGUUGGUUGGCACCAGCAGAGCCCAGGAAAGGCCCCUCGGUCCCUCCUGUAUGUCACCAGCAGUGGAGGUACCAGCAGGGCCGACGGGAUCCCUGAGCGCUUCUCUGGCUCCGGAUCUGGGACGAACCGAUUCCUGUCCAUCAGCAACGUCGAGCCCGAGGAUGAAGCCGAUUAUUUCUGCCAGUCGUAUUACUAUGAUAGUGGUAGCUAUCCUUCUACACAGUGAUACAUUCAGUGAGGAAGUGGGACAAAAACCUCCUUGUCAGGCCUGCAGCAGCUUCUCGCUUGUCCCCAGGCUCCUGAGCAAGGCCAGGGUGCUGCUAGGGGAGAGUCAGCUGUUCUUUCUCUCUUUGUCUGCAUGUCUCUGUCUCCUUGUCUUUCUCUUCCCUCCCCAUCUCUUUCUCUCCCUCUCUGUCUUUCUCCCUACGCCCUAUAGUCUCUCCCAGGCUCUUGCCUCUUUUUCUUUGCACCUAUAUCUUUGUCUCUCUCUCCCUGCACUCAUUUGGGUCCUGGCUUAUGUUUUUCUGUCCCUUUCCUUCUGUCUGUCUGUCUCUAUUUCAUCCAGUUCAUUAGUGACUUGCCCAAGGUCACACAGAUUAAAGCUGGAAUUCAGGUCUUCUCACCCCAUCACCAGUACUUCCCUCCAUGUCCCAGCCUCCUUUGAGAUGACCAAGACACCAGAGGAGUGUAUUUAGUUGAGCCUUCAGGGCUGAGGAUUUGGCUGGUGGAGAGGAGCUGAGAGGAAGCUCCCUGCCAUGCUCUGGCUGUGGCUGUUGGGAAUAGAAUCUUGUUUGUAUGAGGGGAUCCCUUGAACCCCUGACAGUGCUCACGAGGCCAUGACCAGAGACACCCUCCAGGGGAAGAAAAGGGGAAAUGAAAUAAUCAGGAAGGAAAUGGGAAGAGAGGAGACAGAGGCAGCUGCUGACAGUCCCUGCGCCAUGUUGUACACCUUGUGGCCAAGCGCCCACACCUCUACAAGCCUUGACAAACAUCCCCUGAGGAGAGGCUGAAUCCUGAGGACUAGAAAGCCUGCCUGGAGACUGGAAAAUCAGCCACAUCAUUCCCCAACUAAUGAAUGGAAUUCAUUUGGUUUAGGUUUAGGUUGUAACUUUACCUGUCCAUCAAAUGUUCCUGACAUACCACAGUUGCUCCAUGUUUGUGUUGGCUUGCGUAGUUCUGUAUGUCAAUAAAAGUUAAGGUUGGGGGCCAAACCAGGGAGACCAACAAGAGACAACGAGAAGACCAUGGGAGAAGCAUGAGGAGAAGAGACAGUGCAGGAGGUGAGGGGAAAUGAGAAAGGAACGACAGGCUAGGCUCCAUGCAGUCAGGUUACUUAGGAAUGAUUGUCUACCCUUCCUAAUAAAACUUUAUAAAAUAUAUAUCUCUGGGUAGCAAGAAAUAUUAUUUAAUUUUAAUUAUUACAAUACUCUGUUGAUGGAACUGUCAACUCCUCCAUCCAGUCGAAAGUGCGAUCUGGAGGAAUGGCCAAAAAGGAAGGAAGGAAGGAAGGAAGGAAGGAAGGA
Monodelphis domestica (gray short-tailed opossum) is the source of this 1675-nucleotide non-coding RNA. NCBI's taxonomy places the organism in Eukaryota, Metazoa, Chordata, Mammalia, Didelphimorphia, Didelphidae. The record is from the annotation of a RefSeq genome assembly.